CGGUUGAUCCUGCCGGACCCGACUGCUAUUUGGGUGAGGAUAAGCCAUGCGAGUUGAAUGGGAUAUUUCCCAUGGCAAACUGCUCAGUAACACAUGAUCAACUUGCCCUAUAGAGAAAAAUAACCUCGGGGAACUGAGGAUAAUUUUUCAUAGUUGAAAAGGCUUGGAAAAGUUUUUCAACAAAUGGAUAAAAAAAAAUGGUUUUUAUCCGCUAUAGGAUAGGAUCGUGGUCGAUUAUGGUUGUUGGUGAGGUAACGGCUCACCAAGCCGAUAAUCGAUAGGGGCCGUGAGAGCGGGAGCCCCGAGAUGGGUACUGAGACAACGACCCAGGCCUUACGAGGCGCAGCAGGCGCGGAACCUCCGCAAUACACGAAAGUGUGACGGGGUUACCCAAAGUGUUCAAUUUUGAACUGUGGUAGGUGAGUAAUGUUCCCUACUAGAAAGGAGAGGGCAAGGCUGGUGCCAGCCGCCGCGGUAAAACCAGCUCUUCAAGUGGUCGGGAUAUUUAUUGGGCUUAAAGUGUCCGUAGCCGGUUUAGUAAGUUCCUGGUAAAAUCGGGUAGCUUAACUAUCUGUAUGCUAGGAAUACUGCUAUACUAGAGGGCGGGAGAAGUCUGAGGUACUACAGGGGUAGGGGUGAAAUCUUAUAAUCCUUGUAGGACCACCAGUGGCGAAGGCGUCAGACUGGAACGCGCCUGACGGUGAGGGACGAAAGCCAGGGGAGCGAACCGGAUUAGAUACCCGGGUAGUCCUGGCCGUAAACGAUGCAUACUAGGUGAUGGUACGGCCAUGAGCCGUAUCAGUGCCGUAGGGAAACCGUUAAGUGUGCCGCCUGGGAAGUACGGUCGCAAGGCUAAAACUUAAAGGAAUUGGCGGGGGAGCAC
RNAcentral lists this ribosomal RNA (883 nucleotides) under uncultured archaeon. RNAcentral's name for it is "bacterial SSU rRNA". It matches the Rfam family "Archaeal small subunit ribosomal RNA", at positions 5 to 879 of the family's 1478-position model. The record is from RNAcentral.